UUCCGUAGGUGAACCUGCGGAAGGAUCAUUACCGAGUGCGGGCCCUCGUGGCCCAACCUCCCACCCUUGUCUCUAUACACCUGUUGCUUUGGCGGGCCCACCGGGGCCACCUGGUCGCCGGGGGACAUCUGUCCCCGGGCCCGCGCCCGCCGAAGCGCUCUGUGAACCCUGAUGAAGAUGGGCUGUCUGAGUACUAUGAAAAUUGUCAAAACUUUCAACAAUGGAUCUCUUGGUUCCGGCAUCGAUGAAGAACGCAGCGAAAUGCGAUAAGUAAUGUGAAUUGCAGAAUUCCGUGAAUCAUCGAAUCUUUGAACGCACAUUGCGCCCCCUGGCAUUCCGGGGGGCAUGCCUGUCCGAGCGUCAUUUCUGCCCUCAAGCACGGCUUGUGUGUUGGGUGCGGUCCCCCCGGGGACCUGCCCGAAAGGCAGCGGCGACGUCCGUCUGGUCCUCGAGCGUAUGGGGCUUUGUCACUCGCUCGGGAAGGACUGGCGGGGGUUGGUCACCACCAAAAUUUUACCACGGUUGACCUCGGAUCAGGUAGGAGUUACCCGCUGAACUUAAGCAUAUCAAUAAG
RNAcentral lists this ribosomal RNA (574 nucleotides) under Talaromyces amestolkiae. Its description in RNAcentral is "eukaryotic LSU rRNA". The stretch from base 210 to 363 matches the Rfam family "5.8S ribosomal RNA". The record is from RNAcentral. Lineage: Eukaryota; Fungi; Ascomycota; Eurotiomycetes; Eurotiales; Trichocomaceae.